RNAcentral lists this ribosomal RNA (253 nucleotides) under uncultured bacterium. RNAcentral's name for it is "partial 16S ribosomal RNA". It matches the Rfam family "Bacterial small subunit ribosomal RNA", at positions 524 to 776 of the family's 1533-position model. The record is from RNAcentral.
UACGGAGGGAGCUAGCGUUGUUCGGAAUUACUGGGCGUAAAGCGCACGUAGGCGGCUAUUUAAGUCAGGGGUGAAAUCCCGGGGCUCAACCCCGGAACUGCCCUUGAAACUGGGUAGCUAGAAUCUUGGAGAGGUCAGUGGAAUUCCGAGUGUAGAGGUGAAAUUCGUAGAUAUUCGGAAGAACACCAGUGGCGAAGGCGACUGACUGGACAAGUAUUGACGCUGAGGUGCGAAAGCGUGGGGAGCAAACAGG